Long non-coding RNA from Gallus gallus (chicken), 486 nucleotides. RefSeq lists it as uncharacterized. The transcript is spliced from 3 exons. NCBI's taxonomy places the organism in Eukaryota, Metazoa, Chordata, Aves, Galliformes, Phasianidae. The record is from RefSeq and is a predicted model, not a curated record.
GGCAGUAACUGUAAUUUUGUUCUGUAGUCACCACAAAGCCUGAAAUGAAGAGGCUUCAGCACCUGUAGUGAUUACAGUGAUUCAGACCAGCAAAUAGCUCCAGCUCUGGAGAUGUGCCUUUCCAAGUAGCCUAGUGCAUACUGCGGAUGCUGCCACCACACACAGGAAAGCAUGGAGAUGGAAAAUGUGUGCUGUGUGAAUCAGGUCACAGGUCUGUUAUGGAGCCUGGAAAGUGAAGGAAUCUACCAGCAGCUGAUGCUCUUCAGCAGGAACCCAAGGAAGAUGGAGUUUUGUUUUGUAACACAGCCUCUGCAAAACAGCUCUGCAGUUACAGCAGGGAUUGGCCACAGAGGUUCUGCAGCUUGGGGUGCUAUGGCAAUACAGCCAUGGUUAUUCACUUUCCAAUAAUUGUUUUCAGUGCUGAAUUAUUUGGCUCAAAACAAACUACUAGAGCCAGAAUUUAGAAUAAAAAGAACUAUUUCUGAG